Molecule: ribosomal RNA, 375 nt
Filed under: Triticum aestivum (bread wheat)
Lineage: Eukaryota; Viridiplantae; Streptophyta; Magnoliopsida; Poales; Poaceae
Description: partial small subunit ribosomal RNA
Source: RNAcentral
AUGUUCAGACGUAGGCUUACCCCUGAGUUGUCCAAACAGUGGGAAGAUAUGCGUGCUGUAGUUAAUAGAAUUCCCCUUGAUGAGAGGAGUGAUCGUAUCUUUUGGGGACUUAACCAGAAUGGCAAGUUCACCACUAAGUCAGUGUAUAAGAUGUUGGAGAAACCUCUAAGUGGGUGUCAUUAUAGAUGGAUUUGGAAAGCCAAGAUCCCUCUUAAAAUUAAAAUCUUUCUUUGGCAGAUGUCGCAAGACGCAAUCCUUACUAGGCAAGUGAUGAGGAAAAGGAAAUGGACAGGGAAUCCCUAUUGCUCUUUUUGCAAACAGGUGGAAACGGUGCAACACCUAUUCUUUACUUGUCCUGUGGCCAGAAUUGUCUAG